CGUGAUUUGGGCUAUAUUACGGUUCGAAAAUUAUAUGUUCGGACAUUUUUUCGAAUAUUUUGUAUCUAUCAAAGCUCUUAUAAACAAGAUAGGAUAUUCCUACAUAGUUGGUGGGACCCACGGCCAAUGGAUAAUAAAGUCUUCAAAAAAAAAUAGAUACGAUUGCAUUGCAUGUAGUAACAUAUGCGAUCAUAUCAGCAUUAAUGCACCGUAUCCCAUCAGAACUCUAAAGUUAAGCGUUCUGGGCGAGAGUAGUACUAGGAUGGGUGACCUCCCGGAAUGUCCACGUGUUGCAUCCCUCUUUUUCCAGUUUUUCUCUUUUUUUUUGUUAAAAAUGUAUGACUCUAUAACUUUUAGACCGUGAGGCCAAACUUAGCAUGCCAUACCUUUUCGGAAAGUCCAAAGAGAGCACUCCGAUGAAUGAGGAAGGAAAAUGAAUUCUUCUAUUGUUUUUUUUUCUACCCCAAAUUUGACCUUACGUACUUUUCGGAAUUACUGU
RNAcentral lists this ribosomal RNA (499 nucleotides) under Arabidopsis thaliana (thale cress). Lineage: Eukaryota; Viridiplantae; Streptophyta; Magnoliopsida; Brassicales; Brassicaceae. The record is from RNAcentral.